GAGGGUAUAGAUCAAUGGCAGAGUGUAUGCCUAGCAUGCACAAGGUGCUGGGUUCAAUCUCCAGUACCUCCA
RNAcentral lists this transfer RNA (72 nucleotides) under Camelus bactrianus (Bactrian camel). It matches the Rfam family "tRNA". From Rfam's summary of the family: Transfer RNA (tRNA) molecules are approximately 80 nucleotides in length. Their secondary structure includes four short double-helical elements and three loops (D, anti-codon, and T loops). The record is from Rfam by way of RNAcentral. Lineage: Eukaryota; Metazoa; Chordata; Mammalia; Artiodactyla; Camelidae. RNAcentral also lists the same sequence under 2 other names.